Molecule: ribosomal RNA, 301 nt
Filed under: uncultured bacterium
Lineage: Bacteria
Description: partial 16S ribosomal RNA
Rfam family: Bacterial small subunit ribosomal RNA
Source: RNAcentral
CAGCAGCCGCGGUAAUACAGAGGGUGCGAGCGUUAAUCGGAUUUACUGGGCGUAAAGCGUGCGUAGGCGGCUAAUUGAGUCGGAUGUGAAAUCCCCGAGCUUAACUUGGGAAUUGCAUUCGAUACUGGUUAGCUAGAGUGUGGGAGAGGAUGGUAGAAUUCCAGGUGUAGCGGUGAAAUGCGUAGAGAUCUGGAGGAAUACCGAUGGCGAAGGCAGCCAUCUGGCCUAACACUGACGCUGAGGUACGUAAGCAUGGGGAGCAAACAGGAUUAGAUACCCCCGUAGUCCCUGUCUCUUAUAC